Molecule: non-coding RNA, 74 nt
Organism: Streptococcus lutetiensis 033
Lineage: Bacteria; Bacillati; Bacillota; Bacilli; Lactobacillales; Streptococcaceae
Source: Rfam
GCACCCUUGGCUCAACUGGAUAGAGUACCUGACUACGAAUCAGGCGGUUGCAGGUUCGAAUCCUGCAGGGUGCA